AGAACGGUAUUUGCACUGGGAUUCAUCGAAACGCCGAGAAAUCGGUGGGAUGGGCGAGACGGAGCCACGGAACGGCCCCGACACGGCCGGAACGGUACCGGAACAGCAGAAUUUAAAAAAAAAAACAUAAUUUGCCUAAAAAAAAGAAAAAUAAUGACUAAUUUGACUUUAAAAAAAAAAGGAAAAAAAACAUAAUUAAUAUUUCUCUCAUGGCUAGUGACUUUUGUACUAUUUUGGUUUUUACUAUUUAACUUGUGACUUGUGAAUUAUUUCUUGGAUUCUAAUAUUUUUUAUUAUGAUGAAUUUGAUUUUACUAUUGGGUGCAAAUUUACAUCCAUGUCUCCCACAUCCAUGUCUUUCACAUCAUCACAUGCACUUUAGGCUAUAGCCUUUCACAUCCAUGUCUCCCACAAGCCAUUCCACUCAAUAAUAGAACAACUAAUAAUUAUACAGAACGUGAUUGAUACCUGCUUUUAUUUCAAUACAUAAUAUACAUAGGGAGGCAUUGCAGAGGCAUUGGAGAGGCAGAGAGUAAAAAAGAAAAAUAUAAACAAAUUCAUUAAGAAAAAAAUUGAAGUGUUCGAUCAUCAACUCUUCUCUCCAAGAAUGGGUCCAAAAACUGAUAUAGGUUGGGAUUUCGGCGACAUGGUUGGUGAAAAUCGAAAGAAAAUCAAUGUAAAUUCUGUCAAGUAGUUACUACAUGCGGCAUAACCAGAUUAAAACAACAUAUCGCUCAUAUAUCUGGAGAAGUAGAAGUAGAGGCAUGUAAAAAGGCUCCGAAAGAAAUUUCGCUAAUGUUGCGAAAACAUCUUCAAGAGAGCAAAACUACCAGAGAAUUAAUGAAAAAAACAAAAGAAACAGCUAUAAUGUCCAUUAGAGAAGAAUGUAGGCACAUACAUGACGUUGAUACUGAAAGUAGCAGCGAGAAUGAUGAUGAACAAGGUUCCCGAUAUGCAAAUAAAGAAUAUCUAUCACAAAUGGAGAAGAAGCAAUUACGGAAUGCAACGAGAGAAAGUCGAAAGCAAGCUUUCGAUGAAGAGGAGCGUAUGCGAUACAAUGACGGUAUAUGAACUUUUAUAUCCUAGUACAUUGUUAUACUUGUAAAAUAUGUCAAUUAAUUAGUAUUAUUUAAUUGUAGGGCAUAUUGGUGGUACUUAUCGAGGUCAAACGUCUGGUACGAAACGAGGAAUAUUCCGUAGCUCUACCGUAAGAGAAGGACCUAAGAAGUCUUCAAGCGGGGUAGAUCCUUUCAUGUUCCCGUCAAAACAAAAAAGUCUUAAACAAUUCUUCGCUCCUCAAAAAAUCAAAGCAGUUGGUAAGUCCAUUUCAAAGUGGUUUUUAUUUAAUGCUAUUCCGUUUAAUGCUGCUGAUAGUGGGCCUUAUUAUCAAUCUAUGAUAAAUACUAUUGCUGAGGCGGGGACUGGAAUUAUGGGUCCUUCUGGCCGUCAAAUCUGUAGUACUUAUCUAGAUGAAGAAGUUUCUGAAAUUGACGGUUAUAUAUCCACUUUGAAAGCAAAAUGGCCAGAAUAUGGUUGCACAAUCAUGUGUGAUGGGUGGAGUACAAAAAAUAAGCAUCCUAUCAUCAGUUUAUAUUGUGAUGGAUCAAUGAUAUAUCAUACUUCUGUGGAUUGUACUGAUAUAAUAAAGAAUGCAGAUUUUAUUUUGUCUCUUAUAAAUAAAGUCAUUGAUGAGAUAGGAGAGCAAAAUGUUGUACAAGUUGUUACAGACAGUGAAGCUUCAAACAAAGCUGCUGAGAAAGGUUGAUGCUGGAAAGGCCGCAUAUAUUUUGGUCUCCUUGCGUUGCACAUUACAUCGAUCUGAUGUUGGAAGAUAUCGGUAAGAUGACCAAAAUAAAAAGAUGCAUAGAAAAUGCAAAAAAAAUUACAAGUUUUAUUUACAACAGUGACAAAAUAGUGAAUCUUAUGAAGUCGUAUACAAAAGAACGAGAGUUGUUAAGGCCAGGAAUUACAAGAUUUGCAACAAUAUUUAUUGCUAUUGAAAGUCUUGUUCGACAUUCUAUGGAGCUGAAGAGAAUGUGUAAGACUCCUGAGUGGGAAGUUUUUAACAACACUACAAAACGACGGAGUGAAGUCGAAAAUGUGUCAAGUACAUAUUGAAUAACAAAUUUUGGAGCAGAGCCCGAGAAGUUUGUUCAUUAAUGGAACCACUUGUGAAGGUUCUAAAACUGGUGGAUCAAGAUAAAAAGGCCACAUUACCAAUUGUUUAUGAAGCUAUGGAUAGGGCGAAAAUGGCAAUCAAAGAGACGGUUAAAGAUUGGCAAACUUAUUAGACUGUGAUAGACGACUGUGAUAGACGACAGGUGGUACAAAAUGUUACAUCAAGAUUUGCAUGCUGCAAGUAAUCUAAAGUUUUAUUUUAAA
This is a non-coding RNA of Erythranthe guttata (spotted monkey flower), 2381 nucleotides long. The record is from RefSeq and is a predicted model, not a curated record. NCBI's taxonomy places the organism in Eukaryota, Viridiplantae, Streptophyta, Magnoliopsida, Lamiales, Phrymaceae.